GGAGGGUGCGAGCGUUGUCCGGAAUCACUGGGCGUAAAGGGCGCGUAGGUGGCCCGGCAAGCGUGCGGUGAAAGUUCGAGGCUCAACCUCGAAUCGGCCGUGCGAACUGCUGGGCUGGAGCACUGUAGAGGCAGAUGGAAUUCCGGGUGUAGCGGUGGAAUGCGUAGAGAUCCGGAAGAACACCGGUGGCGAAGGCGGUCUGCUGGGCAGUUGCUGACACUGAGGCGCGACAGCGUGGGGAGCAAACAGGAUUAGAUACCCUGGUAGUCCACGCCGUAAACGAUGGGCACUAGAUGCUUGGGGGAGCGACCCCCUGAGUGUCGGCGCUAACGCAUUAAGUGCCCCGCCUGGGGAGUACGGCCGCAAGGCUG
Molecule: ribosomal RNA, 371 nt
Filed under: uncultured bacterium
Lineage: Bacteria
Description: bacterial SSU rRNA
Rfam family: Bacterial small subunit ribosomal RNA
Source: RNAcentral